CUCCCCUAUACUCCAUUUCCUUGCCUUAGUCUCCCCUAUAAUGAGUUCUCCAUUUCCUUGCCUUAGUCUCCCCUAUAAUGAGUUCUCCAUUUCCUUGCCUUAAUCUCCCCUAUAAUGAGUUCUCCAUUUCCUUGCCUUAAUCUCCCCUAUAAUGAGUUCUCCAUUUCCUUGCCUUAGUCUCCCCUAUAAUGAGUUCUCCAUUUCCUUGCCUUAGUCUCCCCUAUAAUGAGUUCUCCAUUUCCUUGCCUUAGUCUCCCCUAUAAUGGUGGUUUCAUCUUCACCAUCUAUUUGAAGCGUUAUUUGACUGUUUGCUGCUCUUUUCCCCAAAAAUGGACAGAAAAAAAGUUCUGGAAAUGGAUGAAAAGCUUAUGUUGCACCUCAUCACACAUCCUAAUGACACUGCCUGGAGAACACUUAUGUCAGAUGAACCAAUACAUGUAUGUAGCCCAGGGAGGAAGAGGGCAGUUAACAGGGACCUGUGCAGAAGCUACAGACCGAUUUAGUAAGAACAAAAACACAAAAGUAAUGAAAUAUUCUGCUUGUCAUGUUUUCAGAAACUAUCUAUACAAGGUGUAUUGUCGUCACACUUUCAAAAUGUAAAUUGUCUGGACAUUUGCUUGGCCCUAGUCUCACUAUGUUAGUGCAACCAAGGUUCAAAUUGUUAUUCUCUGGAGAUCAAAAAUUAAACAUUUUAAAAACAA
Molecule: long non-coding RNA, 701 nt
Organism: Oncorhynchus keta (chum salmon)
Lineage: Eukaryota; Metazoa; Chordata; Actinopteri; Salmoniformes; Salmonidae
Exons: 2
Source: RefSeq, a predicted model, not a curated record